AGAGAGUUGCCGGAGCGGUCGAACGGGACGGUUUCGAAAACCGUUGUACCCAUUACGGGUACCGGGGGUUCGAAUCCCCCACUCUCUGCCA
Molecule: transfer RNA, 91 nt
Filed under: Fidelibacterota bacterium
Lineage: Bacteria; Pseudomonadati; Fidelibacterota
Description: Candidatus Marinimicrobia bacterium tRNA-Ser
Rfam family: tRNA
About the family: Transfer RNA (tRNA) molecules are approximately 80 nucleotides in length. Their secondary structure includes four short double-helical elements and three loops (D, anti-codon, and T loops).
Source: RNAcentral